Non-coding RNA from Pelobates cultripes (western spadefoot toad), 917 nucleotides. NCBI's taxonomy places the organism in Eukaryota, Metazoa, Chordata, Amphibia, Anura, Pelobatidae. The record is from the annotation of a GenBank genome assembly.
GGUGAAUUGGAAUAAUCUAGGCCGAAAAAACUGAACUAGAAAUAUUUGAAUGUGAAUGGUUUUGAAGUUUAGCCAUAUAUUUCGUCAGAUUUUGCAAUUCUCCUUGCCUAUUCACUUUUUAGUGAAUAGACCCUAUAAAAACUUACAGGGCUCUUGCUGUAAACUUGCCACUGCAACUGUGCUCUUGCUGUAGACUUGCCACAGCAAUUUUGCUUUUGCUGUAGACUCACAGGGCUCUGGCUGUAGACUUGUCACUGCAAUUUUGCUCUUGCUCGUGACUUGCCAAGCAAAUGUUCUACAAAUUUAAAAAGUGUCAACUAGAACUUGAGCUGCAAGAGCUCUGCUAGUGAAUCACUUGCCAGUGAAAAUGUGCAGCAAGUUAAACAGACUUACAGUUUAAGUCUUCCACACAUUUGUGGCAAGUUAUCCUUGCUAUCUGGGAAAAAGGCUGAAGGAGUGACCUGUACUGGGUGUCCACGCUACUAGACCCCUGGUAUAAGCAGAAAGUGCCUGAAAUGUUACCGAAUUACGGCAAGUCGGAAAGGAUGCAGCAGUUCCAAAAUCAAUUAAAAAGUAUGCUUUACACCGCGUAUAAUGGUGAUGUCACAGCACAACGGGAAUCUAUCAGGGGAAGAGGUGAAAGUAAUCCUCCUCCCACGACCACCCGGCAAGGACAGGACGCUUUACAGACGUGUUGAUUGAGGACAUGCUGAGCUUUUUAAGUCCUACGCAUCGCCACUGCCCUUCGGGGUCCACCCUCAGAACGACUCGACCGACAGGUAGCAGACUACCUCGCCUUAACUGCAGAUAUCGACACUGAGGAGCGAUGAACCCCUUGACUACUGGGUGUGCAGGCUUGACCUGUGGCCUGAGCAAUCCCAAUUUGCGAUAGAACUUCUGGCCUGCCCCGCUUCAAG